Long non-coding RNA from Mya arenaria, 3305 nucleotides. RefSeq lists it as uncharacterized. The record is from RefSeq and is a predicted model, not a curated record. The transcript is spliced from 5 exons. NCBI's taxonomy places the organism in Eukaryota, Metazoa, Mollusca, Bivalvia, Myida, Myidae.
GACAGCUGCUGUUAAAGCCCUCAUAAUACUGUCAAAGCUAUCCACCGGGUUGGCAGAUGGGGCCCAGCCCAAAUCCUGAGACUGAUAAGACAGAGGGUGUAGGAACCCUACCACCAGCCAACAGAGGCUUAUGGACUUUGGAGAAAGAAGGCAGAGGACCUGUUGAGUUGGAAGAAAAGGCUGGAUAGCGAGGAGAACUGGUCAUUCAAGCUGGAGAAAAGGGCUUUUUAAGUUUUGGAUAACAAUAAAUAGAAAUUUGCGAGCAAGAAAGAGACUUCCCCAAAGUGUUGCUGCAGGGUCCAGGGAUAAUAGGGAAAAACCUUCAACCAAGGGGGACUAUGGCACAGGCAAAGAUUCCAUCAUAGUUACUCUGUCUCCCAAAUACUCUCGUCCCAGAAAACAUCACAAUGGCACAUGAUGAAACCCUCUCUACUCAACUCCCAUCCAAUAGCAUGGACUCUGGAUAAACAGUCCUACAAGAAGAACGAUGCAGCAACAUAACAGGAGUAGAGGACAGAUGAGCCUCGUGACAUCACUACGACCAACAGCUACAGUAACGGGACGUUUAAAGACACUCGCUCACAGUCACAACCAUCCACACCAAAAUCUCUAGCAGGAACAAAAGAAAGAUAAAAACAUAUUUUCUAUCAACUUGGCUCUACAACUUGCUUUUACUGAAUUUUCUUUGCAGUCAUCUCCCUUGAUGAAAAAGAAGACCUAUGUCACAACAAAGGGAAAGUACUGAGUGUUAUUGCCAUUUUCUCUGUCUGUCUGGCCGUCCGGCUGGCCGUCCGUCUUUUCGUCCAUCUGUCACACCCUUGUAGAGGCAUAACUUCAAAAAAAAAAAACCUUGUCUACAGAUAGAUAGCAAUGAGAGGAAGUCAGUGCAAAUGAACCAUAAUCUUGCUGUGCAUAUUGAUUAAGUUAUUCCCCCUUUUUCAUAAUUGAUGCCUGCACACUCUUUGUUCUGAGAAUAAUAUCAAGACAACUGAUGGGAUUGAAAUAAAACUUGGCAUAUAUCUAUAUAGAUGGCAUUGAUAAGGGAGUGCAGUGCACAAGAAUCAUAAUCAAAUCAUGCAUCUUUAUAAAGUUAUUUCCCCUUGACCAUUUAAAAUAUAGAUAGAUGGCAAUGAGUGGAAGUGUGGUGCAUCAGAACCAUAAUCUUGUCCUGCAUAUGAUUUUUAGUUAUAUUCCUUUAAUUACCUCCCCAUAACCAUAUUGUUCAAUAAAGGGGUUGAAAUGAAACUUAAAAUGUAGAUAGAUGGAAAUUAAAUGAAGUGUAGUAUCCAAGAAUUAUAAUCCUAUACUUCAUAUAUGGGUGCUUGUCCAGGUCAUAUUUUGGAAUGUAUUGGAGGGAUUCAAAUGAAGAAACUUGGUAUAGAAAUAAAUGACAAUGACAGCAGGUGUAGUACCAAGAAAAAUGAUUCUGUCCUGUAUAUUUAUUUAGUUAUCUCCCCUAGGCCUGAUAUUUUUCCAUAACAGACGUUGUUCAGGCCAUUUCUUGAAAUGUUCUAUAGUGGUACAAAUGAAACUUGGUAUAAAGAUAGAUGGCCUAUGGCAUUAUAAAAUGUUGCACAUAUCUUUCCAUGUUAAGAUUUUUUCCAACCUCUGUAUAAUAAUAAUACAACCAUUCACCUUCUUCCAGCACAUUGUAUUACAAGUUCUGCCUUUUCAUUGAAAAUGGGCAUAUGGGGAGCAUCCAUUGCUUUCUGCGAUACUCUGUUGAAAUAUUGUUUACCAUAGAACUGGGUUUUUUUCACUUUGUGAUGAUGUUAUAUCAUUAUUAUUCAUAUUUUACAAUAAAGUAGUAUAUAAAAGGUGAGCGAGUCCCUUGAAAUGUAUGUUAGUCCAACUUCUGUUGGUAAAAUUUAAUUAUAUUAACAAUUAAAAUAUGAUGUCAGGAAAAUAUUUACACUUGUACUAGAUAUUAUUUUACCAAUCACAAAUAGAAAAAUAAAAUGUAGCAAAUUCUUUUUGUAAUCUGAUAUAAAAAAUAUAAAAUGUUUUAUCUAAUUUUCAGAUUUGAUGUGCCCUCCUUGGUAUUGACCAUUUCCCACCUGCUAUGAGCAUCAACCACAAACAGUGAUGUGCCCUCCAUGGAAUUGACCACCUGCUAUGAGCAUCAACUACAUGUUCAAGCAGUGUCAUUUGUUUAUUUAGACAAUGUAUUUUGUAUUGAUUGUUAUGUUGAAUAAAUUGAAGCAGUCUCCCAGCAAAAGGCUGGGAGAUAUGGUGCUGGAUGAGCCAUACCAUACAUUGUAUGACAGGCCAUCGAAUCUGUAUACGUAGUUAGGUGGAAUAGCUGGUCUUUAGAAACGUACUCACCUGUGCCCAGGAUGACCUCUUCUGUCGUCCCUCAUAUACCCAUAGAGGCAACCAUUUUAGAUCAAUUCUUUCACAAAUUGGUUAGAAUGGAUGCUUGAUAUAAUGUGGGCUUAAAAACUAGGUUGCAUGGUCAAUUUUCAUAACUUUGUGAGAUUAUCGGAAUGUAUGCAUUAAUUAAAUGUUUAUUAAGUUCCAAUGAGUCACUAGAACAAAAUCUAUAGUCGUAUCUACGCAAUAGUGGUCACAAUGUGUGGAAGUGGUCCAGCUAGGCCUUUAUAGGACAUGCAUUAUUAAUAUUAUUUUCUAGCAGACCUUAAAUUACUUUAUUGUGAAAAAAAUGACGCAUUUUUGUACAUUGCACCAAAAAAAGUGCGUGCGAUGAUGUUUACUGACGUCGUGACGCGCAGUAAUUUUUAUUCACUGCAAACGUCAAGAAGGUCCUUCAAUAUAACGUCUUUUACAGGUUAUUUUGAUUUGUUCUGUAAUAAAAUAUAAAAACAUAAUUGAGUCACGGCGCGUGUCUCAUCUACCUUGCGGGUGCUAUAGUAUUCCAGCACGGCUGAAUUCACCGGAAAUGCCUAUCCGGUGUGCUAGAAUUGUGGUCUUCUCUUUCUGAAAGACGCCUUAUUGCUGAUUAAAAAAACUUUGUUUUCGUCUUUUAAGAACAAAAAUUGGUCUACUAAACAAUUCAAUUAAAUAAUUUCCUUUAAAACAUUUAUUCCCAACAGAUUUAGAAUUGGCAUCACUCAAAUUUAAUAACCUGUUUUGAUUAUUCAUAAAUAUAUCCACUACGAAUUGAUGAAUGUUUUACAUUUAAAAUCGAUUUAAAUGUGUAGUAAUGUAUACAUACAUCAAUAUUUAAAAUAAACUAUUGAGAUGUGUUUUCUUUGGACAGGCCUGCUUCUUUAAAGAUGAAACGUCGGUGAAUUGCUGAAACACACCAACGUGCACAAGUUUUCUAACACUAAUACCUGCGAUUC